Molecule: long non-coding RNA, 1286 nt
Filed under: Macaca mulatta (Rhesus monkey)
Lineage: Eukaryota; Metazoa; Chordata; Mammalia; Primates; Cercopithecidae
Description: lncRNA (ENSMMUG00000056426.1)
Source: RNAcentral
UCUUCCUGGUGGAUGACCUCAGGGGAGGGGUUCGUCUCCCUGGGAGAUGACCUCAGGGGAGGGGUUCCUCUCCCUGGUGGGUGACCUCACAGUCUCAAAGGGCAAUGCUUCCCUGUACAGGUGCAGGCUUGAAUUUAUUUCAGGAGUGAAAGAUGCGCAUCAUUUAAAGCAGGCUCUCCCUGUGAUCCUGUAGCAGCAGAUUCCUGCGGGAUCCAGAGGAGCCAGAGUCCAUGCCAGCACCCUACUCCUAAGCCAGAACCUUCUGGUGGUCUCCCUGAGACAGCCAUUGUCAGGUGAAGCCAAACCCCACCUUGUGAGCUUGUGGUUAAUAGCUCAUGGAUAUCAGCCUGGCUAUUUUAUGCUUCAGAAUGCUGUGUUAUUGUGCCUUUGAUUUCCUCUAGACCCCAGGUAGACAGUGCUUUAUUAGCCUUCUUGAAAUUGGGACACAACAUUUGAGGGGAAGGAAGGAGUGUCAACACCAAAGCAAAAAACAAAUUGAGAGAGGAGUGAUGAAUGACAAGCAGGUUUUUGAGCAGAAUGCAGUGAAUCAAAAGGAAAGAGCAUUAUCUGUAACAACAAGAGUCAUCACAGAAUGAGUGUGACCUCUUCUAUGCCAGUUAAUGUGCUUGUCGUUUAUGUGAGGCCAACAUGGCGUGAUGGCCAAGAGCACAGACUUCAGUGCUUGAUUGCCUGGGUUUCAAUCUUGGCUUUCUGCUGAUGACUUGAAUGUCCUUAGUCAAAUAACUUCUCCAAGCCUUAGUGUUCCCAUCUAUAAAAUGGGACUAAUAGUAUUAUGUAUCUCGUAGGAUUGUUGUGACAAUUAAGUGAGACAAUUUAUGUAAAGUGUACAGAACAGGAUCUGUAUCUUGUGAAGGUUAAUUCUUUCUAACAUCUCUUUGAUCAUUUUUACCCUCACAAUUUUACUAUAAUCAUGUACCCAUGUGUUAAUAUUUAAAUACUUUUUGAAAUAUUUAAAAAAUUAUGAAUAGAAGAGAUAUAUUAAAAAGCACAAAAAGCAUAAAUGAAGAAAUCAAGAAAUUAUCAUGAAACAAACACCCGAGUCAAGAAACAGGGCCAGGACCUUGGAAAUACCUCCAAGGUCCUCUUCCUGCCUCUCCAGAGGUAACUCUUCAAACUGUUCUUUAUGUUGCCCUGUGUUUGCUCAUUGUACAUAUGGAAUCAUAUAGUCUGUUUACUUUUGUGUGUGUCUGUGCUAUGGUUUGAAUGUUUGUAUCCCUUCCAAAAUUCAUGUUGGAACUUAAUGCCCAUUGUGGCAGUAAUAAGAG